GAUGAACGCUGGCGGCGUGCUUAACACAUGCAAGUCGAACGAUGAGGCCUUAGCUUGCUUUGGUGGAUUAGUGGCGCACGUGUGAGUAUCCCGUGGGCAACGUGCCCAGGACUGUGGACUACCCCCGGGAAACCGUGGCCAAUACCGCAUAGGUGCCAAUGCCCCCUAGUCUUCGGUUGGGACGUAUUUGCGGUUUUGGAUCGGAUCACGGCGUAUCAGCUUUUUGGUGGGGUUGUUGCCUACCAAGGCGCCGACGGGUAGCCGCCCUGACAGGGUGACCGGCCACCAUGGGACUAAGACACGGCGCAGACGCCUACGGGGGGCAGCAGGGGGGAGGAUUGCACAGUAAGGGGAAGACUGAUGAAGCAGCGCCGCGGGGGGGAUGAAGGACGACGAGGGGUAAACAACUGUUAGUAGGGAAGAAGGGGAAGUGACGGUACCUGCAGAAAAAGCACCGGCUAACUACGUG
RNAcentral lists this ribosomal RNA (469 nucleotides) under uncultured bacterium. RNAcentral describes it as "partial 16S ribosomal RNA". It matches the Rfam family "Bacterial small subunit ribosomal RNA", at positions 28 to 507 of the family's 1533-position model. The record is from RNAcentral.